AUAAAAUCCUUUACAGACAAGCAAAUGCUGAGAGAUUUUGUCACCACCAGGCCUUGCCUAGAAGAGCUCCUCAAGGAAGCACUAAACAUGGAAAGGAACAGCCAGUACCAGCCACUGUAAAAACAUGCCAAAUUGUAAAGACCAUCGAGGCUAGGAAGAAACUGCAUCAACUAACGAGCAAAAUAACCAGCUAACAUCAUAAUGACAGGAUCAAAUUCACACAUAACAAUAUUAACUUUAAAUGUAAAUGGACUAAAUUCUCCAAUUAAAAGACACAGCCUCAAAAUAAAGGGAUGCAGGAAGAUCUACUAAGCAAAUGGAAAACAAGCUAAAGAGCAUAGUUUACAUUAGAAUUCGCUCUGAUGUUGUGCAUUCUAUGUUGGUCAGGCUUGAGCCUAGAGGCUCAAGUGAUUCUCAUGCCUCAGCUUCCUGAGUAGCUU
This 440-nucleotide long non-coding RNA is filed under the name Pan troglodytes (chimpanzee). RNAcentral's name for it is "long non-coding RNA NONPTRT000510". Lineage: Eukaryota; Metazoa; Chordata; Mammalia; Primates; Hominidae. The record is from RNAcentral.